Molecule: ribosomal RNA, 713 nt
Filed under: uncultured bacterium
Lineage: Bacteria
Description: bacterial SSU rRNA
Rfam family: Bacterial small subunit ribosomal RNA
Source: RNAcentral
AGAGUUUGAUCAUGGCUCAGGAUGAACGCUAGCGGCAGGCCUAACACAUGCAAGUCGAGGGGUAGGACACUUCGGUGUUUGAGACCGGCGCACGGGUGCGUAACGCGUAUGCAAUCUACCUUGUACAGGGGAAUAGCCCAGAGAAAUUUGGAUUAAUGCCCCAUAGUAUUACGAAACGGCAUCGUUUUGUAAUUAAAGUUCCAACGGUACAAGAUGAGCAUGCGUCCCAUUAGUUAGUUGGUAAGGUAACGGCUUACCAAGACAAUGAUGGGUAGGGGUCCUGAGAGGGAGAUCCCCCACACUGGUACUGAGACACGGACCAGACUCCUACGGGAGGCAGCAGUGAGGAAUAUUGGUCAAUGGUCGCAAGACUGAACCAGCCAUGCCGCGUGCAGGAAGACGGUCCUAUGGAUUGUAAACUGCUUUUAUACAGGAAGAAACCCUCCCACGUGUGGGAGCUUGACGGUACUGUAGGAAUAAGGAUCGGCUAACUCCGUGCCAGCAGCCGCGGUAAUACGGAGGAUCCAAGCGUUAUCCGGAAUCAUUGGGUUUAAAGGGUCCGUAGGCGGUCUUAUAAGUCAGUGGUGAAAGCCCAUCGCUCAACGAUGGAACUGCCAUUGAUACUGUAGGACUUGAAUGCUUAGGAAGUAACUAGAAUAUGUAGUGUAGCGGUGAAAUGCUUAGAUAUUACAUGGAAUACCAAUUGCGAAGGC